GGGGAAUAUUGGGCAAUGGACGCAAGUCUGACCCAGCAACGCCGCGUGAAGGAAGAAGGCUUUCGGGUUGUAAACUUCUUUGACAGGGGAAGAGUAGAAGACGGUACCCUGAAAACAAGCCACGGCUAACUACGUGCCAGCAGCCGCGGUAAUACGUAGGUGGCAAGCGUUGUCCGGAUUUACUGGGUGUAAAGGGCGUGCAGCCGGGCUGACAAGUCAGAUGUGAAAACCAGGGGCUUAACCUCUGGACUGCAUUUGAAACUGUUGGUCUUGAGUAUCGGAGAGGUAACCGGAAUUCCUAGUGUAGCGGUGAAAUGCGUAGAUAUUAGGAAGAACAUCAGUGGCGAAGGCGGGUUACUGGACGACAACUGACGGUGAGGCGCGAAAGCGUGGGGAGCAAACA
This 403-nucleotide ribosomal RNA is filed under the name uncultured Oscillibacter sp. Its description in RNAcentral is "bacterial SSU rRNA". It matches the Rfam family "Bacterial small subunit ribosomal RNA", at positions 356 to 774 of the family's 1533-position model. The record is from RNAcentral. Lineage: Bacteria; Bacillati; Bacillota; Clostridia; Eubacteriales; Oscillospiraceae.